RNAcentral lists this long non-coding RNA (761 nucleotides) under Pan troglodytes (chimpanzee). RNAcentral's name for it is "long non-coding RNA NONPTRT002178". Lineage: Eukaryota; Metazoa; Chordata; Mammalia; Primates; Hominidae. The record is from RNAcentral.
GGAAUAAAAGAGAUAAGAUGCAAUUUACUAACUUGGAAUGAAAGAGAGGACCUUCUAUUUAGCUUAGAGAAGUAAAAAAAUGUUAUGAGGGAAUAUUAUAUACAAUUUAUGCCAACUAGAAAAAUGGAUGCAAUGGACAAAUUCCUGGAAUCAAACUAUUUCCCCCCAUUAUUCAAUGACCUCCUACCAGGUCCCUCCUCCUACAUUGGAGAUUACAAUUUAACAUGAGAUUUGGGUGGGGAAACAAAUCCAAACCAUAUCAUGAAACCCCUGGUGCACUGUCAUUAAUAAUGAUAUCAUACAAUGUGUAUUUAUUUCUAAUAAUAUAAAGGUAAUUGAAUAAUGGGGCCAAGUCUUUCCUGUGUUCUUAUUGUGAUAGUGAAUAAGUCUCACAAGAUCUGAUGAUAUUUUUUAAAAAGAGGAGUUCCCCUGCACAAGUGUUCUCUUUUGCAUUUAGAAUUAUCAAAGAAUGCACUAAGAGAAUGUAGUAGCUGAAAAGAAAAAGUGCUAAAGUUAAAAUUAAUGGAAGAAAAUAAUGAGAAAUUAGAGGUAAUUUUUCUAAUAUAUAUUUGAACCUAGGGAUAACUUGAUACAAAAACAAAUGUGUUGUUAGGGCAUAGAUGAAAAUAAUGGUUAAAAUUAUCUCUAUUUUUAGUAGAGACGGGGUUUCUCCAUGUUGGUCAGGCUGGUUUCAAACUCCCGACCUCAGGUGAUCCCCCCACCUCAGCCUUUGAAAGUGCUGGGAUUACAGGCGUGAGCCA